GAUGAACGCUGGGGGCGUGCCUAAUACAUGCAAGUCGAGCGAAUAGACCAUGAGCUUGCUCUGCUGACGUUUGCGGCGGACGGGUGAGUAACACGUGGAUAACCUACCUAUAAUACUUGGAUAACUUUGAGAAACCGGAGCUACUACCGGAUAAUAUAUUGAUCCACAUGGUUGAUUAGUGAAACACGGUGUUUCUGUCACUUAUAGUGGCAUCCGCGCCGCAUUAGCUAGUUGGUAAGGUAACGGCUUACCAAGGCAACGAUGCGUAGCCGACCUGAGAGAGUGAUCGGCCACACUGGAACUGAGCCACGGUCCAGACUCCUACGGGAGGCAGCAGAAGGGAAUCUUCCGCAAUGGGCGAAAGCCUGACGAAGCGACGCCGCGUGUGUGAUGAAGAUCUCCGGAUCGUAAAACUCUGUUAUUAGGGAAAAACAAAUGUGUCAGUAACUACGCACGUCUUGACGGUACCUAAUAAGAGAGCCACGGCUAACUACGUG
This 497-nucleotide ribosomal RNA is filed under the name uncultured bacterium. RNAcentral describes it as "partial 16S ribosomal RNA". It matches the Rfam family "Bacterial small subunit ribosomal RNA", at positions 28 to 507 of the family's 1533-position model. The record is from RNAcentral.